This 468-nucleotide ribosomal RNA is filed under the name uncultured bacterium. RNAcentral describes it as "partial 16S ribosomal RNA". It matches the Rfam family "Bacterial small subunit ribosomal RNA", at positions 28 to 507 of the family's 1533-position model. The record is from RNAcentral.
GACGAACGCUGGCGGCGUGCCUAAUACAUGCAAGUCGAACGGAAAGGCGCUGCUCUUGCGGCGUGCUCGAGUGGCGAACGGGUGUGUAACACGUGUGUAACCUGCCCCUGUAUGUGGGAUAACUUCAGGAAACUCGGGCUCUUAUCGCAUAUGAUCUCUUGCACCAUAGGGUGGGUUGGUAAGAUCCGGCGUUUGGGGAUGGACUCGCGGCUUAUCAGCUUGUUGGUGGGGUAGUGGCUUACCAAGGCUUUGACGGGUAGCCGGCCUGAGAGGGUGACCGGCCACAUUGCGACUGAGGUACGGAGCAGACGGCUACCUGAGGCAGCAGUGGAGAACCUUGCGGAAUAGGGCGAAGCGUGAUACAACGAUGCCGCGUGCGGAAAGACGGGUUUUGGGUUAUAAACCGCUUUCUAAUGUAACGAGCAGUGAGUGACGGUAACGAGUCAGAAAGCCCCGGCUAACUACGUG